AUUGAACGCUGGCGGCAUGCCUUACACAUGCAAGUCGAACGGUAACAGGUCUUCGGAUGCUGACGAGUGGCGAACGGGUGAGUAAUACAUCGGAACGUGCCUAGUAGUGGGGGAUAACUACUCGAAAGAGUGGCUAAUACCGCAUGAGAUCUACGGAUGAAAGCAGGGGAUCGCAAGACCUUGUGCUACUAGAGCGGCCGAUGGCAGAUUAGGUAGUUGGUGGGAUAAAAGCUUACCAAGCCGACGAUCUGUAGUUGGACUGAGAGGACGAUCAGCCACACUGGGACUGAGACACGGCCCAGACUCCGACGGGAGGCAGCAGUGGGGAAUUUUGGACAAGGGGCGAAAGCCUGAUCCAGCAAUGCCGCGUGCAGGAUGAAGGCCUUCGGGUUGUAAACUGCUUUUGUACGGAACGAAAAGCCCUGGGUUAAUACCCUGGGGUCAUGACGGUACCGUAAGAAUAAGCACCGGCUAACUACGUGCCAGCCGCCGCCGUAA
RNAcentral lists this ribosomal RNA (498 nucleotides) under uncultured bacterium. Its description in RNAcentral is "partial 16S ribosomal RNA". It matches the Rfam family "Bacterial small subunit ribosomal RNA", at positions 30 to 523 of the family's 1533-position model. The record is from RNAcentral.